CCUACGGGGGGCUGCAGUGGGGAAUUUUGGACAAUGGGGGCAACCCUGAUCCAGCCAUGCCGCGUGCGGGAAGAAGGCCUUCGGGUUGUAAACCGCUUUUAGCCGGGAAGAAAAGGCGAGGGAUAACACCCUUCGUUCUUGACGGUACCGGCGGAAUAAGCACCGGCUAACUACGUGCUAGCAGCCGCGGUAAUACGUAGGGUGCGAGCGGUGAUCGGAAUUACUGGGCGUAGUGCGUUAGCAGGGGGUUGAAAGCCCCGGGCUCAACCUGGGAAUGGCAUUGGAUACUGGCGGGCUUGAGUGUGGCAGAGGGGGGUGGAAUUCCGCGUGUAGCAGUGAAAUGCGUAGAGAUGCGGAGGAACACCGAUGGCGAAGGCAGCCCCCUGGGCUGACACUGACGCUCAGGCACGAAAGCGUGGGGAGCAAACAGGAUUAGAUACCCCGGUAGUC
Molecule: ribosomal RNA, 450 nt
Filed under: uncultured bacterium
Lineage: Bacteria
Description: partial 16S ribosomal RNA
Rfam family: Bacterial small subunit ribosomal RNA
Source: RNAcentral